CCACUUCUCCUUCCUUGUCUAGGUCAUUUUACAAUAACGAAGGCUAGGAAAAAUCGUUAUGGAUUUACAAGAUGUUUUCAAGAGGUGAUCAUGAACCCUUUUUGGUGUUGUCUUUGCUCUUUGCUUCUUGCAUGUUUGUCUUUUUCCUGGGUAGCUUAGUCUGUGUAAUAUCGGAGGAGUUUUGUUGACUACUAAUUUCCUUGGGC
RNAcentral lists this long non-coding RNA (206 nucleotides) under Setaria italica (foxtail millet). RNAcentral describes it as "long non-coding RNA (SITA_LNC004557)". Lineage: Eukaryota; Viridiplantae; Streptophyta; Magnoliopsida; Poales; Poaceae. The record is from RNAcentral.